RNAcentral lists this ribosomal RNA (446 nucleotides) under uncultured bacterium. RNAcentral's name for it is "partial 16S ribosomal RNA". It matches the Rfam family "Bacterial small subunit ribosomal RNA", at positions 338 to 795 of the family's 1533-position model. The record is from RNAcentral.
CCUACGGGAGGCAGCAGUCGAGAAUCAUUCACAAUGGGGGAAACCCUGAUGGUGCGACGCCGCGUGGGGGAAUGAAGGUCUUCGGAUUGUAAACCCCUGUCAUGUGGGAGCAAAUUAAAAAGAUAGUACCACAAGAGGAAGAGACGGCUAACUCUGUGCCAGCAGCCGCGGUAAUACAGAGGUCUCAAGCGUUGUUCGGAAUCACUGGGCGUAAAGCGUGCGUAGGCUGUUUCGUAAGUCGGGUGUGAAAGGCGCGGGCUCAACCCGCGGACGGCACAUGAUACUGCGAGACUAGAGUAAGGGAGGGGGAACCGGAAUUCUCGGUGUAGCAGUGAAAUGCGUAGAUAUCGAGAGGAACACUCGUGGCGAAGGCGGGUUCCUGGACAUUAACUGACGCUGAGGCACGAAGGCCAGGGGAGCGAAAGGGAUUAGAUACCCCAGUAGUC